UUGAACGCACCUUGCGCUCCCUGGUAUUCCGGGGGAGCACGCCUGUUCGAGCGUCAUGAAGCUCUCAAACACUAUCUUUUCUUAACUGAGAAGGUGGCCGUUUGGAUUUGGACUCUGCCGUGUAACAAACGCUGGUCCGAAAGAUAUUAGCUGAUCCUAGCGAAGCUUGGUUCUACUCGGCGUGAUAAUUAUCUGACGUCGAGGACAUCGCAAGAUGGCCAAAAAUUUGUUUUAUGGAUUGCUUCUAAUCGUCUUCAUCGACAACACAUCAUCAAUCUGACCUCGAAUCAGGUGGGACUACCCGCUGAACUUAAGCAUAUCAAUA
RNAcentral lists this ribosomal RNA (325 nucleotides) under uncultured Sistotrema. RNAcentral describes it as "eukaryotic LSU rRNA". Lineage: Eukaryota; Fungi; Basidiomycota; Agaricomycetes; Corticiales; Corticiaceae. The record is from RNAcentral.